UGCGUAGGCCGCACGGUAAGUCAGAGGUGAAAUCCCGGAGCUCAACUCCGGAAUUGCCUCCGAUACUGCCGUGCUUGAGGACUGGAGAGGAGUCUGGAAUUCACAGUGGAGCAGUGAAAUGCGUAGAUAUUGUGAGGAACACUAGUGGCGAAGGCGAGACUCUGGACAGUUCCUGACGCUGAGGCACGAGGGCCAGGGGAGCAAACG
RNAcentral lists this ribosomal RNA (207 nucleotides) under uncultured bacterium. Its description in RNAcentral is "partial 16S ribosomal RNA". It matches the Rfam family "Bacterial small subunit ribosomal RNA", at positions 568 to 774 of the family's 1533-position model. The record is from RNAcentral.